UACAGAGGUCCCAAGCGUUGUUCGGAUUCACUGGGCGUAAAGGGUGCGUAGGUGGUCGGAUAAGUUUGAUGUGAAAUCUCCGGGCUUAACCCGGAAACUGCAUUGAAUACUAUUCGGCUGGAGGGUUGGAGGGGGGACUGGAAUUCUCGGUGUAGCGGUGAAAUGCGUAGAUAUCGAGAGGAACACCAGUGGCGAAGGCGAGUCCCUGGACAACUCCUGACACUAAGGCACGAAAGCUAGGGGAGCAAACAGG
RNAcentral lists this ribosomal RNA (253 nucleotides) under uncultured prokaryote. Its description in RNAcentral is "partial 16S ribosomal RNA". It matches the Rfam family "Bacterial small subunit ribosomal RNA", at positions 524 to 776 of the family's 1533-position model. The record is from RNAcentral.